ACAAAUUACCCGAAAUGCAACAGCAUUCGGGAAUUACCAGGCGGGGAAUAGAAAAACACCAUGCGAGAAUUAAUCCUGCGGUAUUUGACAGCUUUACAAAUCUAAAAACAAAAGAAAGAAGUGCGAAACCAUAAUAUUAAGAUUACAGCCAAAGAGCUCCGGAUUUAGCGUAUUUGGAAAAGCCGACAUUUUUGUCUUUUUGAGGAAAGGCAAACCGCGAAUUUGGCCCUCACGCGGGCAUCUUUCAAAGCUAACAUUAGCCGGGAUGCUGGGUUGCUAGCUGAGUGUCUUCUGGAUAAAGUCCAAAUCGCCAGUUGGUGUUAAAUGUGUGCCUCUUAAGACAAAAUGUCUGGCUUUAACUUUGGAUCAGGGACUCUUGGUUCUACCAACACUGGUGGAGGAUUCGCAUUUGGGGCCGCAACCAGUGCACCUGCGGCCAAUACUGGUGGCUUCUCCAUCGGGACUUCUCUGGGUACAGCAGCAGCAACCCUUGCCACCUCCACCAGCACCACCCCAUCUCUUGGUCUCGGAGGAAGUCUCUUUGCUCAGAAACCAACUGGGGGAUUUUCUUUCAACACACCUGCCUCAAGCGCUGCGGCACCCACUGCAGGCCUUACAUUAGGUGCCCCAGCUACUACAGCUGCGUCCACUGGCUUCAGCUUGGCCUUUAACAAGCCCACCGCCUCAGCAACACCCUUCUCCCUCACCACCACUUCCAUUUCCUCAUCAGCCCCUGCGGGGGCAGGUGUAUCAUUUGGCUCUGUCCUGACAUCCGUGGCUCCACAGCAGCCUGCAUCGGCAGGCUUCAGCCUUGGUCUUGGUGGCACAACAACCACCACAGCUGCAACCUCAACAGGCCCAUCACUGGGCGGGAGUCUCUUCGCCAACACUUUGUCUGCAGGUUUGGGUCAGACCACUCUUGGACUAGGAAGCGGGUUAACUUUGGGUUCUCUGUUAGCUGCCUCCACAGCAGUAUCAGCGGCCCCUGCCCCCAGUAUUGGCCUGGGUGGAGUCGACUUCAGUACUUCCUCUGAGAGUAAGAGCGACACUUCUGGAGCCAACGCACAGGACAGUAAAGCUCUGAAAGACGAGAACCUGCCCCCAGUUAUUUGUCAGGAUGUCGAGAAUUUCCAAAAAUUUGUGAAAGAUCAGAAACAGGUUCAGGAAGACAUCAGCAGGAUGUCAUCUAAGGCCAUUUCCAAAGUCCAAGAUGACAUCAAGAGCCUCAAACAGCUGCUCUCUGUCAGUGCCAGCGGUCUGCAGCGCCAAGCCCUGGCCAUCGACAAGCUAAAGCUGGAGACAGCGCAGGAGCUGAAAAAUGCUGACAUAGCACUGCGUACACAAAAGACUCCCCCUGGACUUCAGCAUGAGAACACUGCUCCAUCAGAUUAUUUCCGUAGCCUGGUAGAGCAGUUUGAGGUGCAGUUGCAGCAGUACCGCCAGCAGAUAGAAGAACUGGAGAACCACCUGACAACGCAGAGCAGUGGCUCCCACAUCACUCCUCAAGACCUGACAUUGGCCAUGCAGAAGUUGUACCAGACAUUUGUUGCACAGGCUGCCCAGCUCCAGUCUGUUAAUGAGAAUGUCAAGAUCUUGAAGCACCAGUACCUUUCCUACCGUCGGUCUUUCCUGGAAGACUCAACGGACGUCUUUGAGUCCAAACGGGCAUCCAACAGGAAGUGGCAGAGUACGCCACGAGUCACGACUGGGCCUGCCCCAUUCUCCAGUGUGCCCAACGCUGCAGCGGUUGCCAUGGCAGCCACGUUGACCCAGCAACAACAGCCUACUCCAGGUCUGACUGCCUACAAGUUCUAGAAAGUUUUCCUCUUCUCACCUUAAAAUAAAAGAGGGAGAGGAGAGAAAUGUUUUGGAGAGGACAGGAUAAGUAACUUUUAAAAUGAGGCAAUCGUGGGAGUGGAAAGGUCAAGAGGGGACAGAGAGGAUGAUUAGAAAUAAUAAAAAAUAAAAAAAACCUUAGCUGGUGCCAAGCUAUUGUGUCUGUACUUUCUCUAAUGAAAGAACAGCUAAAGAAAGACGGAGAAAGGCAGAGAUAAGAAAUCUGUUGCUAAACUCCGACAGGAAACCUUUGUGCUGCCUUACCAUCUUGUCAUACAGAAUGUCAUACAAACACUUUCAGUAAUACUAGGGAUACAAUAACCUACUUCACCUAAUUUCUCUCUGUGCCCUAUGUUAGAGCAGGUAUAUGUGGCUGACAUUGAAGAAAUGAUAUAAUGUGAGAGAAAGUCCAGCUAUCUCAAUUUUACUCACAUGAAUCUUGAAGUUAUAAUUAGAGCUUGUACAUUUCAUUUGAGUUAGGACUGUUUUUUAUUUAAUGGAUGCUUGAAAUGAGCCUACUCAAUGAAGGUUGUUAUGUGAUGGGGUUAGAAGCAUUAGACACUUGCUGUGUGAUUACUUGGCAAACAUUCUUUGAAUUGAAUCAGAGUUCUGUUUUUUUAAUUUUUUUUUAUAAGAUUGUGUCUUGGUGGUCAGUUGGUGUAUAAAUGUAUUAUAAUGUAGCUCCUACUCUCUUCAGUCCAACUGUAAUGUAGGGAAGCUCCAAUUGAUUAUUUACUUCACUAAAAAUACAGCAAUGUUGAACAUUUUAAAGAACAAUUUAUAAAAAGAUUGUAUCACCAUUGUUUAUUGAAGCAUGGAGCUUCUCUUGUUCAGGGUCUUUCCGAUAGUAGGCACAGUUUAGGCUAAGACCCAUUUUAAGGCAACCACACUCUAAAUAAUUAAACUAAAGGCCUAAAUCAACUUGUAUUCAAAAAAGCAAGUUCUAUUUAAUAAUUUAUAAAGUUAUGUUCCUUAAAUGUUAAACCAUCAUACCACAUGUGAAAUUCUUUCCAUAUUCUGCAAGUAAAAUCAUAAUUAUUUCUAAAGGUUGUUCUACACACUUACACACAGAUUGGUGUCAAUGGUGUGUUAAGACUAGUGUCCAUAAUGGUUGUUGCCACAUCUCAGAGGUGUUAAACAAAUGUUUGGCCUUUUUUGUAGGCUUUGUUUUGUAGGCCAUUUUAUUGGAAUAUCAGGGCACUCAGUCACUAUGAACAAACAAACUAAGCUCCUCUAUAUUGGCAUGUUUCUGCUGUAUUUUUCUUUCUUCUAAAGUGUAGUGAAGAUGUAAUUCAAAAGUUCAAAAGCAAUAUUUUAAUUGGAUGGGGUUAGGCAGCAUGGUUUGGAAAUUCUCACAUGGAAAAUUAUAGAAACUUCAGCUCAAGUCUGGCUUCAUUUGCAAAUUUCUGCUGCCUCCUUUUUCACAAAAAUCAGCAAAUCUGCUCAGACUGUCACCAGAUACAAUAAUUACCAAUUGUUACCCAGACAAUGAAUGUGGCUUAUUUUUCAGUGUUAUAAUAUUGGAACAUUCAAAUACCUUUGGUCGCUUAGCAGGACAUGCAGUAGCUAUUCUGAAUAAGCAUCUAGCCUUUUUAAGUAUGUGCCAAGUAGGGAAAGGAAUGUUUUACAAUCCAUUGCUUGACCCUAAUUUGGAGAUAAAAGCCCUUCGUAAUCAAGCCCUGUUGCCACAGUAGGUCAAAUCCACUUGUGUGGUAGAAGUGCACGCUACCUUGGUGCCUGCUGAAGAUUUAUUGUGUGUUGCUUUCCAUUUUUUAUUUCAUAUAAAGCCAAAUCAGUUCCUGAUCAUUUUGUUUGAUCAUUUGUUUAUUGUAACUGUGUUCUCUGGGUAAGCUAGCUGUCAAAAAAGGCUGCAUUGCGCUGUAAAUUAUUUAUUAUAAGGUAUAACUUUGCAAGCCUGUUAACCCCAGAGUUGGGUACUAUGUUACAAGAUUGCUUUUUUUUUUUUUUUAAUAUCAAUGAUAAUAUUCAGCAAAGUUCCCAUCCCUCUUUCCAAAUAGUGGUUAUUUACUAGUAUUUGACUCAAGUCACUGAGUAAUUUCAUAGAAUAAGCCUACUCAGAAGUGGUUGUCUUGGUCUCUUCACUAUUUAUUUACCUAUUUAUUUCCAUUUAUUUUUUGUUUGUGUGUAACUUAGUCUGUAAUUGGAAUGGCAGGUGGCCAGUAUCACAGCCCUUACAACACUAACCAUGCGCUUACUUCAGGCAGAUUCUUGUUCGACCCAUAUAUUUGUCGUUGGGUUGAUUGUGUCGGCAAAAAGCUUAAUCAGAUGUGUGCC
Sander lucioperca (pikeperch) is the source of this 4131-nucleotide RNA transcript. It is a transcript of the gene named nucleoporin 58, with no coding region annotated. The transcript has 12 exons. NCBI's taxonomy places the organism in Eukaryota, Metazoa, Chordata, Actinopteri, Perciformes, Percidae. The record is from RefSeq and is a predicted model, not a curated record.